Molecule: transfer RNA, 78 nt
Filed under: Phytophthora megakarya
Lineage: Eukaryota; Oomycota; Peronosporomycetes; Peronosporales; Peronosporaceae
Rfam family: tRNA
About the family: Transfer RNA (tRNA) molecules are approximately 80 nucleotides in length.
Source: Rfam by way of RNAcentral
GACACGAUGGCCGAGCGGUCUAAGGCGCUGGUUUUAGGCACCAGUCCUCGGGCGUGGGUUCGAAUCCCACUCGUGUCA